This 447-nucleotide ribosomal RNA is filed under the name uncultured Pseudomonadota bacterium. RNAcentral describes it as "bacterial SSU rRNA". It matches the Rfam family "Bacterial small subunit ribosomal RNA", at positions 29 to 524 of the family's 1533-position model. Lineage: Bacteria; Pseudomonadati; Pseudomonadota. The record is from RNAcentral.
AUGAACGCUGGCGGUAUGCUUAACACAUGCAAGUCGAACGAACCUUCGGGUUAGUGGCGCACGGGUGAGUAACACGUGGGAAUGUGCCUCUGGGUGCGGAACAACGUCGGGAAACUGACGCUAAUACCGCAUAAUGUCUACGGACCAAAGAUUUAUUGCCCAGAGAUCAGCCCGCGUCUGAUUAGCUAGUUGGUGAGGUAAUGGCUCACCAAGGCGACGAUCAGUAGCUGGUCUGAGAGGAUGAUCAGCCACACUGGAACUGAGACACGGUCCAGACUCCUACGGGAGGCAGCAGUUAGGAAUAUUGGACAAUGGGGGCAACCCUGAUCCAGCCAGGCCGCGUGUGUGAAGAAGGCCUUAGGGUUGUAAAGCACUUUCGGCUGUGAAGAUAAUGACAGUAGCAGAAGAAGAAGCUCCGGCUAAAUUCGUGCCAGCAGCCGCGGUAAU